This 253-nucleotide ribosomal RNA is filed under the name uncultured bacterium. RNAcentral's name for it is "partial 16S ribosomal RNA". It matches the Rfam family "Bacterial small subunit ribosomal RNA", at positions 524 to 776 of the family's 1533-position model. The record is from RNAcentral.
UACGAGGGGGGCGAGCGUUGUUCGGAAUUAUUGGGCGUAAAGAGCUUGUAGGCGGUUUGUCGCGUCUGCCGUGAAAAUCCGGGGCUCAACCCCGGACUUGCGGUGGGUACGGGCAGACUAGAGUGUGGUAGGGGAGACUGGAAUUCCUGGUGUAGCGGUGAAAUGCGCAGAUAUCAGGAGGAACACCGAUGGCGAAGGCAGGUCUCUGGGCCACUACUGACGCUGAGAAGCGAAAGCGUGGGGAGCGAACAGG